GGACCGGUAGUUCAGUUGGUUAGAAUACCGGCCUGUCACGCCGGGGGGCGCGGGUUCGAGUCCCGUCCGGUCCGCCA
This 77-nucleotide transfer RNA is filed under the name Thalassolituus oleivorans. RNAcentral's name for it is "tRNA-Asp". It matches the Rfam family "tRNA". From Rfam's summary of the family: Transfer RNA (tRNA) molecules are approximately 80 nucleotides in length. Their secondary structure includes four short double-helical elements and three loops (D, anti-codon, and T loops). Lineage: Bacteria; Pseudomonadati; Pseudomonadota; Gammaproteobacteria; Oceanospirillales; Oceanospirillaceae. RNAcentral also lists the same sequence under 1 other name. The record is from RNAcentral.